AACGAACGCUGGCGGCAGGCCUAACACAUGCAAGUCGAGCGCGCCCUUCGGGGUGAGCGGCGGACGGGUGCGUAACGCGUGGGAACGUGCCCUUUUCUACGGAAUAGCCUCGGGAAACUGAGAGUAAUACCGUAUACGCCCUUUGGGGGAAAGAUUUAUCGGAAAAGGAUCGGCCCGCGUUGGAUUAGGUAGUUGGUGGGGUAAUGGCCUACCAAGCCGACGUUCCAUAGCUGGUUUGAGAGGAUGAUCAGCCACACUGGGACUGAGACACGGCCCAGACUCCUACGGGAGGCAGCAGUGGGGAAUCUUAGACAAUGGGGGCAACCCUGAUCUAGCCAUGCCGCGUGAGUGAUGAAGGCCUUAGGGUUGUAAAGCUCUUUCAGCUGGGAAGAUAAUGACGGUACCAGCAGAAGAAGCCCCGGCUAACUCCGUG
This 433-nucleotide ribosomal RNA is filed under the name uncultured bacterium. RNAcentral describes it as "partial 16S ribosomal RNA". It matches the Rfam family "Bacterial small subunit ribosomal RNA", at positions 29 to 507 of the family's 1533-position model. The record is from RNAcentral.